This is a long non-coding RNA of Lates calcarifer (barramundi perch), 2666 nucleotides long. RefSeq lists it as uncharacterized. The transcript is spliced from 2 exons. NCBI's taxonomy places the organism in Eukaryota, Metazoa, Chordata, Actinopteri, Centropomidae. The record is from RefSeq and is a predicted model, not a curated record.
AGGACCAGAGGACCAGAGGACCAGAGGACCUGGACCCGCCUCAGCUCUGCUCUCACUGUGUUGUUCAUCUCAAACUGCAGCUGUGUGUUUAAACCUGUGUUUCUGUGGGAGCUGAUCCCUGAUCAGCUGAAUCUGCGUCUCUGUGGACAGAGCUCGUCUCCUGACAGUAAUCUUUACAAAGAGGGAAACUGACCUGAGACCAGAUCAGUGAAUCACAAAGACAUUUCUGCUGAGUGUUUCUGAAGAUGAGGCGAAGUCUGUUUGGAAACUUUUGAUUCAGGUUCAGCAGCCGCAAGCUUUUCUUUUCUUUUCUUUUCUUUUUCUUUCUUUUCUUUUCUUUUCUUUCUUUUCUUUUCUUUUCUUUUCUUUCUUUUCUUUUCUUUUUCUUUCUUUUCUUUUCUUUCUUUUCUUUGUCGUCCUCUCCUGACUCACAGUAGAAACAGAAUCAGAGCUUCACUCUCUCUCUGCAGGUGACUCACGUCUGAACACAGUCAGUGUAACCGUUCGUCACCGCUGAGCCACACCGAGCAGCAGCAACUCCAACUAUCCACUGUCAUUAAACACAUCACUGUUACACUGGGUGACAUGUUCCUUCAUCACACACACACACACACACACACUGUCCUGCAACAACUGUGGAUUAAUCCGCCGCUGGAAAUAGUCCCCAACACAAGCUUCAUGUAUUUCCUCCUGAAAUCCCUGAAGCUUUAUAGAGAUGAAACAUCAGUGAGGUGUUUUACAGAUUUACCUUCAGUAGGAAUCGACCUGAUGAUUCUUUCAUUUCACUGCUCCUUAAGAACUGAAAUUAACUGAUUUACAAGAAAACUGCAGAGUUAAGACUGAAUCACCUCCUGACCCCUCCUCAGAGAUCCUGUGAUCACUUCAGGGGUCCUGACCCAUAGUUUGGGAACCACAGGAAUAUUAGAUUUUCUAGCUCUAACUCCUUCAGAGUUCCUGAGACAUGAUGUUCUCUCUCUCUGUGUGUUCAGAUCAGGUUGCAGUGAACUCAUCACCUGUCCUCAGUAAACACACACCUGUCGUGCCCGUGGCGGGGCCUGAUGGGAGUGGGUGGGGCCUGAUGGGAGUGGGCGGGGCCUGAUGGGAGUGGGCGGAUCCCAGAAGUCUCUGGAAAAUGUUUUGUUUUCUGCUCCUGAACUUUAUUUAUUAUAAGUGUGUCGGCAGAAACCGGUCGGUCGGCUCUGAACCGACAACCACCUGCCAACCAGGGCCAGGUGUGACUGAGACGUUCAGGGACCCUCAUGAUAUCAGAGAAAUGAAGCAGAAAGAUCAGCCGCCAUCUUGGUGCUGGUGACGUCUUCAGGCCACAGGUGGAGGUGCAGGAUCACAGCUGUCAAUCAUGACAUCACCUCCUCCACCACCUCCUCCUACAGUUAGUGAGUGAGUUCUUCAAGUUAUGGACAGUGACCUCUGACCUCUGACCUCUGAAAUCUAAUCACCUGUGGUCACGACCGUCACCGACACGUCAGCGUGAUGAAACAGUUCUGUCUGGUCCAGGUCUCAGCCUCUGACGGACUGCACCUUCAUGUCGUCUCUUUAGUUUUUCUCUUGUAUCACUGAAACCUCACUGAUCAUCCUGAUAAACCACUGUGCUGCAGAUAGUGAAGCUGAUACACAAUGUUUCAGCCUGUGAGGACAGAGUGUGUGUGUGUGUGUGUGUGUGUGUGUGUGUGUGUGUGUGUGUGUGUGGUUGUAGUGCAGCCUGCAGCCUGCAGGGGGCAGCAGCUCAGGCCUCAGGUUCACCUGUGUUCAGUUUGAAUCUUAUCUUUAUAAUAAGUGUGUGAAGAUUAGACGUCCAGGCUGCUGUAAACUGCGUGGGACGAGAGUGUGUGUGUGUGUGUGUGUGUGUGUGUGUGUGAUAAUCAAAGGAACCUGUGUUUACUUUUUCAGGUGUGUCUCACCUGAGAUCAAAGCCACAGGAAGCGGGGGGCGGGACAUCUGUUAACGGACAGCUUCGCCCACGUCCACAGAGUCUGAGACACAGGACGACAAAGAGACAAAGUUCAGCUUCAAACUGUCCUCAGACUGUGAUUCAAACUGGUCCAUGAAAUAACUUUAUUUACACAUCAGAGAACAAACAGAAUCAGAAAGGAACCCGAUUCCCAGGAGAAUGAAGAAUAACGAUGGAUGGAUGUUAGAAACAGUAACGACCCUCUGGUUGUUUUCAUCUGGUUAAAUGUUGAACCACAGAGAGUCUGUGAAACCUUUACUGUCUGAAAACACAAAGGUUCUUCACUCAGAUCUUAAUACGUUCGGAGUGUAACCUGUGUUUAACAGUUCAUCAUAUUCUAUGGAUUAAAACCUCCUGCAGCAGUAGAUCAUACGAGUGUGUGAUGAUCAGUUUUAUAUGAGUGUGACUCCAGAAACCAGAUCUCCUCUGUGUGUUCCCUCUGUGGACGGGAGAAUAAAUAAAACAUCAACAGGUGUCAGAGUGUUUGUAACAGAAACUAAAACAGGUCGUUAGCGUACGGUGGCCUGCAGGGACAAACAGCCUGUAACGUCUGACAGUUGAGAUAAAGUCAGGUCAGAUUAAUGAUCCAGUCACACACCUGUGGCAGUUAAAAAUAAACCUGAGUGGUUUUUCUCUGAUAAUAAAGAGUCACAGGUGGAUCGGCUCACUGCCGUCGACUUCCUGUCGCCAACGUUAA